Molecule: transfer RNA, 68 nt
Filed under: Segonzacia mesatlantica
Lineage: Eukaryota; Metazoa; Arthropoda; Malacostraca; Decapoda; Bythograeidae
Description: tRNA-Trp
Source: RNAcentral
AGGAUUUUAAGUUAUCUAAACUAAAAGCCUUCAAAGCUUUAAAAAAAAGUAAACCCUUUUAAAUCCUA